RNAcentral lists this long non-coding RNA (595 nucleotides) under Eucalyptus grandis. RNAcentral's name for it is "long non-coding RNA (EGRA_LNC007162)". Lineage: Eukaryota; Viridiplantae; Streptophyta; Magnoliopsida; Myrtales; Myrtaceae. The record is from RNAcentral.
CGCCGACGACCGCCGUGCACGACUUCCUCCCGCGACGCCGCGACCCCCGAAACCUGCCGGCCACCACCGCGCCUCCACGAGUUCCCCGACGCCGCUUGGAGCCGAACCCUCUGCACAGCACUUGCUGUUCGCAAUUGGCAGUGACCCGCGAGUCCCCCACGCCGGUCUCCGCCGUUCCUCUUGUUGCCGGAGCUCUUCCACCACCGGUUUGCCCUCGCCGGAACCCUAGCCGACGAGCUCUCCUCGCCGGAACCCUUCGCCGGAGUCCCAAACCGGUGGUCAAGAUUUUCUUUUAUUAAAAAAGGAAAAAAAUCGAAUUAGGUAGAUUUGCUUUAUUUUAUUAGGCUGAAUUAUUUUAUCUUAUCUUAUUUUAUAUCUUGGUUUCUUUGUUUGAAAUAUUUCUCUAUGCAUAAUUGGAAAUCUCAAUAUGUCACUUGAUUCGCAACCACGCUGUGAUUUUUUAUUUCAUCUAUAAGGCUUUAGAUGAAAUAAUUAAUCAAGUGGGAGUAAAAUUGAUAAUUUGAUCUUUAAGGCUUAAGAUGAAUUUAUCGAUUUUAUUAGCGAAAUAUUAUCUCUUGAUCCGAAUGAUGUGCGA